GAUGAACGCUAGCUACAGGCUUAACACAUGCAAGUCGAGGGGAAACGAUAUUGGAAGCUUGCUUCCGAUAGGCGUCGACCGGCGCACGGGUGAGUAACGCGUAUCCAACCUGCCCAUCACUUGGGGAUAACCUUGCGAAAGUAAGACUAAUACCCAAUGACGUCUCUAGAAGACAUCUGAAGGAGAUUAAAGAUUUAUCGGUGAUGGAUGGGGAUGCGUCUGAUUAGCUUGUUGGCGGGGUAACGGCCCACCAAGGCGACGAUCAGUAGGGGUUCUGAGAGGAAGGUCCCCCACAUUGGAACUGAGACACGGUCCAAACUCCUACGGGAGGCAGCAAGUGAGGAAUAUUGGGUCCAAUGGGCGAGAGCCUGAACCAGCCAAGUAGCGUGCAGGAUGACGGCCCUAUGGGUUGUAAACUGCUUUUAUAAGGGAAUAAAGU
This 439-nucleotide ribosomal RNA is filed under the name uncultured bacterium. RNAcentral describes it as "bacterial SSU rRNA". It matches the Rfam family "Bacterial small subunit ribosomal RNA", at positions 28 to 452 of the family's 1533-position model. The record is from RNAcentral.